Leptonychotes weddellii (Weddell seal) is the source of this 545-nucleotide non-coding RNA. NCBI's taxonomy places the organism in Eukaryota, Metazoa, Chordata, Mammalia, Carnivora, Phocidae. The record is from the annotation of a RefSeq genome assembly.
GAGAGGAGUCCCAGCCCCAGGAUUUCCAGGUGUUCCAUUCAGUGAUCAGGACAGAAAACAGACUUACUAUGGAGUUCUUGCUUGGCUGGAUUUUCCUUGUUGCCCUUUUAAAAGGUGUCCAGUGUGAGGUGCAGCUGGUGGAGUCUGGGGGAGACCUGGUGAAGCCUGGUGGGUCCCUGAGACUCUCCUGUGCAGCCUCUGGAUUCACCUUCAGUAGCUACUGGAUGAGCUGGGUCCGCCAGGCUCCAGGGAAGGGGCUGCAGUGGGUUGGAGAAAUUAAAGAUGAUGGAAGUAGCACAUACUAUGCAGACUCUGUGAAGGGUCGAUUCACCAUCUCCAGAGACAAUGGCAAGAACACGCUUUAUCUGCAGAUGAACAGCCUGAGACUUGAGGACACGGCUGUAUAUUACUGUGCAAGAGACACAGAGGCUACAGCAGCAUCAAGCAAGAGAAUUAAGAGCCCUGGUGGGGUUCACUAUCUUGAACCAUGUUCACAGCAUGUUAAUGACAGCAUGGAAAAGCAGGAUGACCCCCACCAGGACAUG